RNAcentral lists this ribosomal RNA (468 nucleotides) under uncultured bacterium. RNAcentral's name for it is "partial 16S ribosomal RNA". It matches the Rfam family "Bacterial small subunit ribosomal RNA", at positions 28 to 507 of the family's 1533-position model. The record is from RNAcentral.
GACGAACGCUGGCGGCGUGCUUAACACAUGCAAGUCGAACGGAAAGGCCCUGCUUUUGUGGGGUGCUCGAGUGGCGAACGGGUGAGUAACACGUGAGUAACCUGCCCUUGACUUUGGGAUAACUCCAGGAAACUGGGGCUAAUACCGGAUAGGAGCUCCUGCUGCAUGGUGGGGGUUGGAAAGUUUCGGCGGUUGGGGCUGGUCUCGCGGCUUAUCAGCCUGUUGGUGGGGUAGUGGCUUACCAAGGCUUUGACGGGUAGCCGGCCUGAGAGGGUGAACGGCCACAUGGGGCCUGCGAGAGGGCCCAGACGCCUACGGGAGGCAGAAGGGGGGAAUAUUGCACAAUGGGCGGAAGCCUGAUGCAGCAACGCCGCGUGCGGGAUGACGGCCUUCGGGUGGUAAACCGCUUUCGCCUGUGACGAAGAGUGAGUGACGGUAAUGGGUAAAGAAGCACCGGCUAACUACGUG